GGCUGCUGGGAUCUACUGAGGUUAAACUACAGUCCUACCGGGAUUUUAGGCUUCUCGCGAUACUAGAGCCCUCGCGCGGGAUUUUGCUGGGUAAUGGUUUGGUUUCAUUAAGUUGCUGAGGGCACUGAUAACUUGCUGAGGCAUACCUCAAACUUGUGAUUCUACUGUGUGGGCCUUUGGAGUCGCUGGAAUUAUAGAUAUUUUUCGCUCUAAAACUAACAUUGAAUUGGAAAACGGCACUCAGAAAUGUGGCAGUUGGAAAGUCAACAUUACUCUUAUUCUUAAUCUACAGGGCUUGAAGAUUUUGCCGAAGCCAGAGAACUUGCUUUUUCUUUUGGUGGGAGGUGUUGUGUCUCCAGCUUCCACACUGUCCAUGACCAUGCCUGGGUCUGCAGUGGGCUGGCCUGCUUCUUC
This is a long non-coding RNA of Marmota monax (woodchuck), 414 nucleotides long. RefSeq lists it as uncharacterized. Lineage: Eukaryota; Metazoa; Chordata; Mammalia; Rodentia; Sciuridae. The transcript is spliced from 4 exons. The record is from RefSeq and is a predicted model, not a curated record.